GGAAGUAAAAGUUGUAACAAGGUUUCCGUAGGUGAACCUGCGGAAGGAUCAUUAUUGUAUAACCGAGGUGCGAGGGCUGUCGCUGACCCGAAAGGUCGUGCACGCCCGAGUGCCCUCACACACAUCCAUCUCACCCCUAUGUGCACCACCGCGUGGGUCCCCCUUUGGCUUGUUCGGAGGGGGGCUUACGUUUUCACACAAACUUUGUAUACAGUGUAGAAUGUAUUCUUUGUUUUUGCGAUCACGCAAUCAAUACAACUUUCAACAACGGAUCUCUUGGCUCUC
Molecule: unclassified non-coding RNA, 285 nt
Filed under: plant metagenome
Description: partial contains small subunit ribosomal RNA, internal transcribed spacer 1, and 5.8S ribosomal RNA
Rfam family: Eukaryotic small subunit ribosomal RNA (bases 1-54)
Source: RNAcentral